RNAcentral lists this transfer RNA (72 nucleotides) under Camelus bactrianus (Bactrian camel). It matches the Rfam family "tRNA". From Rfam's summary of the family: Transfer RNA (tRNA) molecules are approximately 80 nucleotides in length. Their secondary structure includes four short double-helical elements and three loops (D, anti-codon, and T loops). RNAcentral also lists the same sequence under 2 other names. The record is from Rfam by way of RNAcentral. Lineage: Eukaryota; Metazoa; Chordata; Mammalia; Artiodactyla; Camelidae.
AAGGGUAUAUCUCAGUGGUAGAGUGUGUGCUUAGCAUGCACAAGGUCAUGGGUUCGAUCUCCAGUACCUCCA